Tympanuchus pallidicinctus (lesser prairie-chicken) is the source of this 2371-nucleotide long non-coding RNA. RefSeq lists it as uncharacterized. The record is from RefSeq and is a predicted model, not a curated record. Lineage: Eukaryota; Metazoa; Chordata; Aves; Galliformes; Phasianidae. The transcript has 3 exons.
GUGGAUGAACAGCGCUGAUCGCUGCUUGCUUGUCCUUACCUGAUGAUUUGGAGAGCCCUCGAGCUCAGCUUUUGUUCAUCACUAUUUAUUAAGGAAUUUUAGCAUCUUCCAUCAUGUGCAGUUUAAUUUGACCCGUAAACCUCUGCUGCUGCACAGCAGUUAACAGAGCAGCACGUCUUGGUGCUCGGGGAGAAGCGAUGAGCACCAAGUUAUCAAAGCCACCUGUCUGCUCCUAACUCAGCUCCGGCUGGGCUCCUUUGUGAGGCAAUGUAUACAGAGAUGCGUGUCCUAUUAAGCAUGCUAGCUUGCCUUUCUUGGAGUGAAGGGAAACAGGAAGGCAAUUAAUGUUAAAGUAUAUUUUCCCGAUGGAUUCGCUAUUAGAUUGAAAUAUGCAGAGAAGGUUAAAAAUGGGAUCUGUGUUAAGGUGGGAAGUAUAUGUACUCCAUGUCAAACAAGAGCACCUGGGAUAAGCAUUUUUUAACUAGCUAGUAGUUAUGUUCUGAAUCUCUGCAAGCCUGAUUCUGUGUUGCUGAUUUCUCAGAAGUUAGCUUCACUACCAGUUUCGAAGAGCAAUUGAAGUGCUCGGUUAUACCCCUCUAUUAGAAGAUAUAAGAAUCCCUUUACCUACCAUUUUAACAUCAGCCUUGAAGGCUUUCCAAUUUAUUCUUAUCCUGUAAUUACCAGCUGAAGCAGUGACAAUCAAAUCAGAUGUUUUCCCAGGUCUCCUUAUCGCGUUCUUAAUCCGUUUCACCCCCUCCCUGCCCUUACAGGGCUGUUCCUUUUGCAAUCCGUGCUGAGGAUACCACUGGUCCUCUUGUGAUUAACACAGUGAUGCAAUCAGAGUUAUAAAAAGGUAGUUAGUAAAGAACAAGCAAGCUGCUCUAAACUUAGAUUAACCUGAAGCUAGCAAUGAAGUAUCCUCCAGUUCCUUUGGUGACUGAGCUGACUUUGCCUGUUUUCUUUUGCCUUUCUUUGCCAUAUGUACUAACACUGAUCAUAGCAGUGAUCUGGCUACGGCUCUUACUUAAUGAAGAAGAGAUGCCUCCUGCAGAAGAAACUAAGAAUCAAUCUCUGAUUGCUGAUGUGUCUCAUUCUGAAUCUAAACUUGAAGAUGAACCAACAGAUGAUGAAAGCCAGCAUGACACAGCAAGUCCAGAAUUUAAAGAGGACAAACAAUCUAGUGGCCCUGUGGGACAAUCAAGGCCCAAACCUGCUUAUCUGAAUUCAAAAGCAAACUGCCAUCUCAGAGGGCUGGUCCCAGAACCAAAGAUAAAACCCUCCCAUGUGGGAAGGAGCGUUCUCUGUAACAUCACAAUGCUGCUGUGCUCCAUGCUUUGUUCUCUCACUUGGACUUUUCUCAGCCACUUGCUCCAGAUCUGUAAUGUCCUGAGGAUUCAGCUUCUGCCAUCCUCUCUGGCUGUCGAUGCGGCUCGGCUUUGUGAUUUGCUGCGUGGAAAUGUUGUGAAAAUCCUGGGCUCCCCAAGGCUACAAAGCAGAGGGCUGUUAACUUCAAUCUUGGGGAUGAGAUACAAGAAAACAGAACAGAGUGCAGCUCAGAGGACUGCCUGGAGGUAGAAAUGAAGCCAGUAGUUCUAUGACUGUUAGCAGCAAUCCUGUUCAGCAUCGGUGAAAGCUACUCCAGCAUGGCAGGGAGAGGUUAAUUCCCUAAAAAAGAAAUGCAGUCUGGACUAAGCUGAUGCACUCAGGUCACAACAGCUAAUUUCCAAGUAAACAGUAUUGACUGGUUCUGUGUUAUUAAAUGGACCACAGCAAGUAGUAUCUCACGUAGAGCUUGGAAAUGUGCUCUGCUACUCUCCUACUGCAAAGUACAAAUCACUUUCAGAGUGGCUAAACACCCUUAGCAUGUAUGGAGCUGUGCAAAUACACCCUUUUCAGCACGUGAGGUUGGAUUCCACUACCAGAGACGGUCACUGCCAGCUCCCUGGGGCCACGAGGGGGCUAUGCUGUAGUUCUGUCCCCUAAAGGUUCUUGAGGAGCCGUUUGCCCGUUGCUUUGACGCACGCGUUGCACAAUUCGUCUGAAAAGACAAGUUGAAAAUAGGGAGUCACAGCCUGGGAAGCGUGCUGCCGUUUGUCCCUAUUCCUGAGGUGAAGGAAACUCUCCACAGCCCUGCAUGGGGAGACUGUGUAACGGUUCUGCUGCCUGUAAUUACGAAGCACGCCUUGUUUGCGUUUGCUUUUCCCACAGAUGUCCACGCGUCCAAAUAUUUAUGCAGGGCAGCAUGCUUUUAAAUAAAACUUGUUUGCUCGCUGUCUUUAUACCCGUGGUCGUUUAUUUCGAGGAGAUAUAUGCGGAUACGCCAUUCAUCAGCCGUUUGCUGAGCAAAUCGCCUUUACGCAUCCGCAGAGCU